UACAAGGGCUUGGGUCAUUU
This 20-nucleotide unclassified non-coding RNA is filed under the name Mus musculus (house mouse). RNAcentral describes it as "oocyte_clustered_small_RNA11309". Lineage: Eukaryota; Metazoa; Chordata; Mammalia; Rodentia; Muridae. The record is from RNAcentral.